AGUUAAAAAGCUCGUAGUUGGAUUUCGGAGUGGGCCAGUUGGUCCGCCGCAAGGUGUGUUACUGACUGGUUUGCUCUUCUUCGCAAAGACUGCGUGUGCUCUUGAGUGAGUGUGCGUAGGAUUUACGACGUUUACUUUGAAAAAAUUAGAGUGUUCAAAGCAGGCUAUUGCUUGAAUACAUGAGCAUGGAAUAAUGGAAUAGGACUUUGGUCCCAUUUUGUUGGUUUCUAGGGCCGAAGUAAUGAUUAAGAGGGACAAUUGGGGGCAUCCGUAUUUCGUUGUCAGAGGUGAAAUUCUUGGAUUUACGAAAGACGAACAACUGCGAAAGCACUUGCCAAGAGUGGUUUCAUUAAUCAAGAACGAAAGUUAGAGGAUCGAAGACGAUCAGAUACCGUCCUAGUUCUAACCAUAAACGAUGUCGACUAGGGAUCAGCGGGCGUUAUCGUACGACCCCGUUGGCACCUUACGGGAAACCAAAGUUUUUGGGUUCCGGGGGAAGUAUGGUUGCAAAGCUGAAACUUAAAGGAAUUGACGGAAGGGCACCACCAGGAGUGGAGCCUGUGGCUCAAUUUGACUCAACACGGGAAAAACUUACC
This 596-nucleotide ribosomal RNA is filed under the name uncultured marine eukaryote. RNAcentral describes it as "SSU rRNA". It matches the Rfam family "Eukaryotic small subunit ribosomal RNA", at positions 617 to 1219 of the family's 1831-position model. The record is from RNAcentral.